GUCUGUGUUUUCGACUGCGGCGGGAAGUGUGUGCGCGCACGUGGUCGGCGGCUGUUUUCUCUGGCGUUCGCGGUGUGUAGCUGCGUGUCUGGGGGUGCAGGAGGGGUGCGCCCGAGCUCUGCCUGUCUGGGGCGGGGGGUGCGCCUCGGCGGCGUCUGUUCUGGGGGCCUGCGUGUGUUCCCACGCUUUGGGUGUGCGCCGCGGUGUGUGGGAGCGUAAACAGCCGCGCCUCCUCCCCGCGGCCCCCGCCAGCAGAGCCCCCCUUCCGGCACCUAAAUCGGGAGCCGCCGUGACUCACGCACCGCCUCCCCCAGCGCCGCGCUGAGCGAGCGAGCGGGAUCGGGCCCUCCCCUCCCCCCGCCCGGGUCCAGGCCAAGGCCGGGGGGGGGGGGGGGCGGCGGGGCGGGGGUCCGCACGGAGCCGAGCGCCGCGCUCCAGGGCUCCUGGGGGCUCUGGCUCUCACUCGCUGGGGUGCUCCCGGGGGACCCCGGAUUCUGCGCCCUUGCUCCCCAUUCUCCGUCUCCCGGGGCCAGGCCACGCCGUCUGCCACCACCCUCCCCCACUUCUUAUAAAAGCCGGUUUCCAACCCC
This is a long non-coding RNA of Sorex fumeus (smoky shrew), 590 nucleotides long. RefSeq lists it as uncharacterized. The record is from RefSeq and is a predicted model, not a curated record. The transcript is spliced from 2 exons. NCBI's taxonomy places the organism in Eukaryota, Metazoa, Chordata, Mammalia, Eulipotyphla, Soricidae.